This 1806-nucleotide long non-coding RNA is filed under the name Homo sapiens (human). Its description in RNAcentral is "HSALNT0076068". Lineage: Eukaryota; Metazoa; Chordata; Mammalia; Primates; Hominidae. The record is from RNAcentral.
UGAGAGGGUCCCAGAUUUCUGAUCCACUUGAAGCCCCUCUGAUCUAGGAGGGCUCUGUAACAGAAAUAAAAAACUCAAUAUUCUCCUGCAGAAACAGAAUGGGCCACCUCUUGGGGAUACACCUUUUAGCCCUUAGAGUGGCUACAAUAAGAGGAUGGCAAACUUCAUCUACCAGCUUCUAGCCAAUGGAAAGUUCUUAAAAUUCUUCACCAAGCCUUCCACCUGGGAAAGGAUAAAACCUAUUAAUUGGCCCAAAGGUUGUUCUCAGGAACUGAAACAACUAUUGGAGGCCCAAUCCCGUGAACUAGGGGCCCACUUUAUUCAACCCAGGGGACCUAGUACUGGUAAAGGCUCUUCCUUCUCUUUUUCCCUCUCUAGGCCUGGAUUGGGCGGGAACUUAGACUGCACUUCUUUCUACUCUUUCAGCAGUAAAGGUCACUGGAAUAGAUUAUUGGAUUCAUAUACUCAAGUAAAGGCCUGGAGAACUGACAGAAUGACUUCUGUUGACCCAGAAGAGCACCCGAAGUACCAAUGUGAAGAGAGACCUUGAGCUGAUGAUCAGAAAAGUGUCCAGUGUCUGUGUACCUAAUUCCACUUGGUCAUGAGACAAGAACCUGGAACUCGCCAAACUGCAGGAGUGAAAGAGCUGUAACACUCCCUUCUCCUCACUGAACUACAGGAAUGAAGAAGCCACUGGGUGUCUCUCCCUUCUGCUCGCUGAACUAUGGGACUAAAGAAGCUGCAACAUCAGCAUCUGUUAUUUUUUGACUUUUUAAUAAUAGCCAUUCUGACUGGUGUGAGAUGGUAUCUCAUUGUGGUUUUGAUUUGCAUUUCUGUAAUGAUAAGUGAUGUUGAGAUUAUUUUCAUAUGAUUGUUGGUCACAUAGAUGUCUUCUUUUGAAAAGUGCCUGUUCAUGUCCUUUGCCCACUUUUUAAUGGGGUUGUUUGGACAAUAAACGUUCUUAAAUGUGCUCAACCCUAUAAGUAAUAAGAAAAAAUGCACAUUGAAACACCAUAUGAUACCACUGUUCACCUACCACAAUGGCUAAAAUGAAAGAAAUAAUAACAAAUUUAAACAAGAAUAUGGAGCAACUGGAACUCACACACUGCUGGUUGUAAUGUAAAUUUGCACAAGCACUUCAGAAAACUGUCACUAUCUAUAAAACUGAACAUAUGUAAACCCUUUAUGGAAGGACCUUGAAGAGAGUAAUAGAAAAAGUCUGAAAGCCUAGAAAACUGUGUUAGUAGAUGCCUGUAUUAGUCCACUUUAAAAGUGCUAUAAAGAACUACCUGAGACUGGGUAACUUAUAAAGAAAAGAGGUUUAAUUGACAAGAAGGCAAAGGGGAAGAAAGGCACAUCUUACAUAGCAGCAGAGGAGAGAGAAAGAAGAAGUGCCACACUUCCUCUUUCUUAAAACUAUCUUCUUAAAACACUUCUUAAAACUAUCAGAUCUCAUGAGAACUCUCUUACUAUCAUGAGAACAGCAUGGGGAAAACCGCUGCCAUGAUUCAGUCACCUCCCACCAGGUACCUCCCUAAUAUGUGGGGAUUACAGUUCAAGAUGAGAUUUGAGUGGGAACACAGAGCCAAACCAUAUCACACUGAGAGGUGAAGCCAGCUGGGCUUCUGGGUAGGGUGGGGACUUGGAGAACUUUUCUGUCUAGCUAAAGGAUUGUAAACACACCAAUCAGUGCUCUGUGUCUAGCUAAAGGUUUGUAAAUGCACCAAUGAGCACUCUUUAAAAUGGACCAAUCAGUGCUCUGUAAAAUGGACCAGCAGGUGCUGUAAAGACACAUGCACACAUAUG